RNAcentral lists this ribosomal RNA (430 nucleotides) under uncultured bacterium. Its description in RNAcentral is "partial 16S ribosomal RNA". It matches the Rfam family "Bacterial small subunit ribosomal RNA", at positions 354 to 796 of the family's 1533-position model. The record is from RNAcentral.
GUGGGGAAUAUUGCACAAUGGGCGCAAGCCUGAUGCAGCAACGCCGCGUGAGGGAUGACGGCCUUCGGGUUGUAAACCUCUUUUAGUAGGGAAGAAGCGUAAGUGACGGUACCUGCAGAAAAAGCACCGGCUAACUACGUGCCAGCAGCCGCGGUAAUACGUAGGGUGCAAGCGUUGUCCGGAAUUAUUGGGCGUAAAGAGCUCGUAGGCGGCUUGUCGCGUCUGCUGUGAAAACCCGAGGCUCAACCUCGGGCUUGCAGUGGGUACGGGCAGGCUAGAGUGAGGGAGGGGGGAUUGGAAUUCCUGGUGUAGCGGUGGAAUGCGCAGAUAUCAGGAGGAACACCGAUGGCGAAGGCAGAUCUCUGGGCCGUAACUGACGCUGAGGAGCGAAAGCAUGAGGAGCGAACAGGAUUAGAUACCCUAGUAGUCC